RNAcentral lists this ribosomal RNA (512 nucleotides) under uncultured bacterium. RNAcentral's name for it is "bacterial SSU rRNA". It matches the Rfam family "Bacterial small subunit ribosomal RNA", at positions 28 to 526 of the family's 1533-position model. The record is from RNAcentral.
GACGAACGCUGGCGGCGUGCUUAACACAUGCAAGUGGAGCGACGAACCAGGCUUCGGCCUGGGGCAGAGCCGCGAACGGGUGAGUAACACGUGGGUAACGUGCCCCGAUGACCGGGACAACCCGGGGAAACCCGGGCUAAUACCGGAUGUGCUGCCCUCACAUCAGUGAGGGCUGGAAAGGGAGCUUCGGCCUCCGCAUCGGGAUCGGCCCGCGGCCCAUUAGCUUGUUGGUGAGGUAACGGCUCACCAAGGCCGCGAUGGGUAGCUGGUCUGAGAGGACGAUCAGCCACACUGGGACUGAGACACGGCCCAGACUCCUACGGGAGGCAGCAGUGGGGAAUCUUGCGCAAUGCGCGAAAGCGUGACGCAGCAACGCCGCGUGGGGGAAGAAGGCCUUCGGGUUGUAAACCCCUUUCAGGAGGGACGAAGCCGGAGCGGUGAAUAGCCGUCUUCGGUGACGGUACCUCCAGAAGAAGCCCCGGCUAACUACGUGCCAGCAGCCGCAGUAAGAC